UCCGAAUGGGGAAACCCACUAUCCGUAAUGGGAUAGUACUCCUGCCUGAAUCCAUAGGGCAGUGAGAGGCAUACCAGGGGAACUGAAACAUCUAAGUACCCUGAGGAAAAGAAAACAAUCAGUGAUUCCGUAAGUAGCGGCGAGCGAACGCGGAGAAGCCCAAACCAGAAGGUUCGCCUUCUGGGGUUGUAGGGCGUCUCACAUGGAGUUACAAAAGACGGUCAUAGACGAAGCGGUCUGGAAAGGCCCAUCAGAGAAGGUAACAAUCCUGUAGUUGAAAUGACCGUCUCUCCGAGACGUACCCUGAGUAGGGCGGGACACGUGAAACCCCGUCUGAAUCCGGGAGGACCAUCUCCCAAGGCUAAAUACUACCUGGCGACCGAUAGUGAACCAGUACCGUGAGGGAAAGGUGAAAAGCACCCCGGGAGGGGAGUGAAAGAGAUCCUGAAACCGUGUGCCUACAAUUAGUCGGAGCACAAUCAAUGUGUGACGGCGUGCCUUUUGUAGAAUGAACCGGCGAGUUACGGUUGCGUGCAAGGUUAAGUCUGAGAAGACGGAGCCGCAGCGAAAGCGAGUCUGAAUAGGGCGAAUGAGUACGUAGCCGUAGACCCGAAACCGUGUGAUCUACCCAUGUCCAGGGUGAAGGUGCGGUAACACGCACUGGAGGCCCGAACCCACGUACGUUGAAAAGUGCGGGGAUGAGGUGUGGGUAGCGGAGAAAUUCCAAUCGAACUCGGAGAUAGCUGGUUCUCCCCGAAAUAGCUUUAGGGCUAGCCUCGGAUUCCUGUACCGGAGGUAGAGCACUGAUUGGAUGCGGGCCCCUCGCGGGGUACCAAAUUCAGUCAAACUCCGAAUGCCGGAUACAGCAGGUCCGGGAGUCAGACUGCGAGUGCUAAGAUCCGUAGUCAAAAGGGAAACAGCCCAGAUCACCAGCUAAGGUCCCUAAAUGUACGCUAAGUGGGAAACGAUGUGGAGUUGCCCAGACAACCAGGAUGUUGGCUUAGAAGCAGCCACCAUUUAAAGAGUGCGUAAUAGCUCACUGGUCGAGUGACUCUGCGCGGAAAAUGUAACGGGGCUAAGCGUACUACCGAAGCU
This 1095-nucleotide ribosomal RNA is filed under the name Aneurinibacillus migulanus. Its description in RNAcentral is "bacterial LSU rRNA". It matches the Rfam family "Bacterial large subunit ribosomal RNA", at positions 113 to 1201 of the family's 2925-position model. Lineage: Bacteria; Bacillati; Bacillota; Bacilli; Caryophanales; Paenibacillaceae. The record is from RNAcentral.